Molecule: ribosomal RNA, 392 nt
Filed under: uncultured bacterium
Lineage: Bacteria
Description: bacterial SSU rRNA
Rfam family: Bacterial small subunit ribosomal RNA
Source: RNAcentral
AAUGGGCGCAAGCCUGAUGCAGCGACGCCGCGUGGGGGAUGACGGCCUUCGGGUUGUAAACCUCUUUCGUCAGGGAAGAAGCCUUUGGGUGACGGUACCUGGAGAAGAAGCACCGGCUAACUACGUGCCAGCAGCCGCGGUAAUACGUAGGGUGCGAGCGUUGUCCGGAAUUAUUGGGCGUAAAGAGCUUGUAGGCGGUUUGUCGCGUCUGCGGUGAAAACUCACAGCUUAACUGUGGGCGUGCCGUGGGUACGGGCAGACUAGAGUGUGGUAGGGGAGACUGGAAUUCCUGGUGUAGCGGUGAAAUGCGCAGAUAUCAGGAGGAACACCGAUGGCGAAGGCAGGUCUCUGGGCCAUAACUGACGCUGAGAAGCGAAAGCAUGGGGAGCGAA